This 440-nucleotide ribosomal RNA is filed under the name uncultured bacterium. RNAcentral describes it as "partial 16S ribosomal RNA". It matches the Rfam family "Bacterial small subunit ribosomal RNA", at positions 338 to 795 of the family's 1533-position model. The record is from RNAcentral.
CCUACGGGAGGCAGCAGUGGGGAAUAUUGCACAAUGGGGGGAACCCUGAUGCAGCAACGCCGCGUGGGUGAAGAAGCGUUUCGGCACGUAAAGCCCUGUCAGCAGGGAAGAAGGUGACGGUACCUGACCAAGAAGCCCCGGCUAACUACGUGCCAGCAGCCGCGGUAAUACGUAGGGGGCAAGCGUUAUCCGGAUUUACUGGGUGUAAAGGGAGCGCAGACGGCACUGCAAGCCAGGAGUGAAAGCCCGGGGCCCAACCCCGGGACUGCUCUUGGAACUGCAGGGCUGGAGUACAGGAGGGGUAGGCGGAAUUCCUAGUGUAGCGGUGAAAUGCGUAGAUAUUAGGAGGAACACCGGUGGCGAAGGCGGCUUGCUGGACUGUGACUGACGUUGAGGCUCGAAGGCGUGGGGAGCAAACAGGAUUAGAUACCCUUGUAGUC